CAGCGGUGGAAUGUGGUGGAACUCCCACACCUGUAUGCGCAGGUGUUCACUCACGUUGUCGGAUCUGGAGGCAGGGCUCUGCUGGCCUCACAAGAUAUGUGUUUAUGAAAGAAGGUUCCAUUUUUGAGAGAGGAGAAAGACAUUGUCAUAUUGGGGAAAGGAAGAGUGGAGGGAGUGGAACUUGGACUUGGCCUUGAAUAAUGAUCCCUUGGGCUGGGAUAUGAGGAAAGGAUUGGGGACUAUACCGUGUACAGACAAGCAUACAGCACGCAGCCCAUCUAUAAGUGCUGCCCGGGUUGGAGCCGGUGGGACCAUGAACCUGGCUGCCCACACUCUGUCUCUGCAGAGGGGACAUGUUUCAGUGGAAAGAGGUGCUCAGAUAGUGAGG
This is a long non-coding RNA of Lutra lutra (Eurasian river otter), 388 nucleotides long. RefSeq lists it as uncharacterized. The record is from RefSeq and is a predicted model, not a curated record. The transcript is spliced from 4 exons. Lineage: Eukaryota; Metazoa; Chordata; Mammalia; Carnivora; Mustelidae.